AUACAAAUAAGUAUGUUGCGUUCAGAAAUGUUGAGGUGCUGCAUGUAUACAGUACACUCAUGGGUCACUUUAUUAGGCCUAUCUAACUGUUGUUGCUGACCCUUUAUGAUCCAGCAGGAUAACGCACCAUGUCACUAUGCUCAGAUCAUCUCACUGUUUUUUUUAACAUGACAGUGAGCCCAUUGUACUCAAAUAGCUUCCAUAGUCACCAGAUCUGAAACCAAUAGAGCACCCUUCGGAUGUGGUAGAAUGGGAGAUUCACAUCAUAGUUGUGCAGCUAACGAAUCUGCAGCAACUGUGUGAUGCUGUCAAAUCUCUGAGGAAUGUCUCCAGCACCUUUUUGAAUCUAUAUCACAAAGAAUUGAAGAAGGUCUGAAGGCAAAAAGGGGGCUGACCCUGAAAGGUGUAACUGAUGAAGUGGCUGCUGGGUGUAGAUAUUAAAAUGCCCUUUCCUUUGUCUUUAUUGGUUUCAGUAUUUGAUAUAUUGUGUUCUAAUGCCAAUUAAAUAACGUUUAAGUUAUUUGCAAAUCACUGGUCUUGUUUGUUUGGGUUUUUUUUUUUAAAUUUUUUAAAUUCUUUUGCAUUUUACAUCCCUUCCCAGGCUGUGUAAACAUGGUUGUACCUAGCUCAUCUGACUCAAGCAUACAUUUGUUUAAUCUUCAAAGGUGAUAGUGCGGGUGGCAGACAGGUGUACAAGUGCUUGGAAAAGGCAGACUGCGUUUCUGGCCAAUGGGCAUGUUUGCAGAUAUGGCUUGGGUAUGCAAAUACUCUGACUUCUAUUUUAAUAGAUAAAUGAAAACUUUUACUUUGGGAAGUCUAGUUUGCAUUUUUCACGCUCUGUUUUGUCUGUGUCCCAGCAAAGAAGAGCAGUGCUUUCCUUUGCAUCACAAUUCAAACUAGGAUUCUUCGGCGAUGGCUUCAGAAAAAAAAUGUCUGCCAGAGCAGCCUUCUCACAAAUAGAGAUGCACACGCGCGCUCCUUAAUAACACCACCUGCGGUCAGCACAUCUUUUGAUUCUGAGCCCGAUUUUCUCUUCUCACCCCAUAAUCUCAUCUUUGUCCCACAAUGCUCUUCCUGCCUCUUCACCUCAUCCUGUUUCCUUUAAGCCGAGAACAUCUCAGACUUGCUUUGAAAUCAGGAAAUGAAAGAAAGUCUCAGUAUUUGGCAGAGUGAGGAACCAUUCUUCCAUAAACACUGUAUGAUAAAGGUUACAGAGUCACAG
Astatotilapia calliptera (eastern happy) is the source of this 1222-nucleotide long non-coding RNA. Lineage: Eukaryota; Metazoa; Chordata; Actinopteri; Cichliformes; Cichlidae. The record is from Ensembl.